GAAUUACAUUAAAAGACUAGAAACCAUCUCUUUGCUUUUCUGACAGGAGCACAGUUCUCUGGUGUUCAGAGCUGGCACAAAACAGCUACAACGAAUGUCUCUUCAUAGACGCCUCCAGAGUGCACAGUUCCCCAUGAUAUUUAAAGUGGAUGACAAAUCACACUCUCGAAUAGUGCGGUGGGGGACGCCAUGGCCAUGCAAGAGUCAGGUCUUCAUUUUAUAUCCCAAAGCUCCGCCAAGUCAUUGAGAUCUCAGAUUCCCUUCAAGCAUCAGCGAAGCUGAUAGGAAAGGAACCCUACCCCACCUUAUCUCCUGCCUUUCGAAAGCCCAAGUCCUGUGCAAGCUACUCUGGAACUCAGAACAAGGUGACUUGCUUGUGAACACUAAAAAAAGUGAAAUUUACAAGUGGCAAGAUCAUGGAGAAGUACAGGAAUAUACCACCGACAGCUGAAGCGGGGUGCAGCCCAAAUUGCUUGGGAGGAGAAGGCAGCCAUGGCCUGCAACUCUGCAGGGUCCCACAGGGACCAGCAGCACCAACACAGCAGGCAGCAAGAGGAGGGUUUAGUGCAGAAGGAAUGGGGCAAAUCACCUGCCGGAAGGACACCAGGAUAGACACGCCCAGAUGCAGAGAGCUGGAUGCAGAACCCAACAGAAGUCAGGAAAGGAGAAG
Molecule: long non-coding RNA, 670 nt
Filed under: Homo sapiens (human)
Lineage: Eukaryota; Metazoa; Chordata; Mammalia; Primates; Hominidae
Description: HSALNT0300070
Source: RNAcentral